RNAcentral lists this ribosomal RNA (325 nucleotides) under uncultured Chloroflexota bacterium. RNAcentral describes it as "bacterial SSU rRNA". It matches the Rfam family "Bacterial small subunit ribosomal RNA", at positions 28 to 351 of the family's 1533-position model. Lineage: Bacteria; Bacillati; Chloroflexota. The record is from RNAcentral.
GAUAAACGCUGGCGGCGUGCUUCAGGCAUGCAAGUCGAACGGGUUCCUUCGGUUCGCCGAAGGACACUAGUGGCGGACGGGUGAGUAACACGUAAGUAACCUGCCCAGAAGUGGGGAAUAACCCGCCGAAAGGCGAGCUAAUACCGCAUGUGAUGGUCUUUCUCUGGAGAGGUCAUUAAAGGCGUAAGUCGCUUCUGGAGGGGCUUGCGGCCGAUUAGCCAGUUGGUGGGGUAACGGCCUACCAAAGCAGCGAUCGGUAGCUGGUCUGAGAGGACGGACAGCCACACGGGGACUGAGAUACGGCCCCGACUCCUACGGGAGGCAG